This 807-nucleotide small RNA is filed under the name Malus domestica (apple). Its description in RNAcentral is "sRNA MD05G0277800". The record is from RNAcentral. Lineage: Eukaryota; Viridiplantae; Streptophyta; Magnoliopsida; Rosales; Rosaceae.
CUCUCCCGUUGAAGCUCUCUGUAACUCAACCUCACUCUCUCUAAUUUCCCGAGCAUCACCACUCACAACCGCCAUCUCUUACAGCUUGGUUCAACACAAAAUCACCAGAAAUAGAUAAAGGGUUGCCUGAGGAUCUCAGCAGUGGCUCUGCAUGGAUCAUCUGCGCAUGGCAGAGUUUCGAACUCACUGAACCGUGAGCUUCGAGUCUUCCCCGUCGGUUCAGUUUUCUGGUGAACUCAAGGCGAAAUUCGAAAGGAAUCGUUGUCGAUUUAGUUGGACUCAACUUCUUCUGAUCUCAGGCUAGGAAUCCAACGACCUUUUUGGUUGUUCCCGAUGACCCCAAGAUGGAAUCAGUCUCAAUUUUUACAUUUUAUAUCUAGGUACAUCUGUGGGAAGUGGCACCUCCCUCGCUAGUUGAGCGGCUCCCGGGCAAAGGAAGACUUGUGAGUGGACCCCUUCAUAACUUGCAUGGAUUUAGGUUCGAGGCACAUGAUCCCGGCGUUAGGGCAUCUUUACGUAGGUAUCUUCGAGUCUUUCCAGUGUAGAACCACUCCUUUAUUCAUAUAUUUUAUUGUAAUUCUUUCAUGUAUUCCUUGAUUAGUUGUAUGCUCUGAACAUGUUCCGCGUCGACAUGUUUCUUUCUAAUUAUUUAUCUUAUUGUUUGCAUGUUUAAAAUGGCUUCGACACUCUCACGUGUCGGCCAACACAUGCCCAUCCUAGUAUUUGGGUAUAUCAGGUUGGGGCGUGUCACAUAUUCUCAUCUAGGAGAAUGUUUCUAACCUUCAAAUCUCUAUGGAUUACCUUCAA